UACGAAGGGAGCUAGCGUUGUUCGGAAUUACUGGGCGUAAAGCGCGCGUAGGUGGCGAUGCAAGUCAGGGGUGAAAUCCCAGAGCUUAACUCUGGAAUUGCCUUUGAAACUGCAUUGCUUGGGUAUCGGAGGGGAUGGUGGAAUUUCUAAUGUAGCGGUGAAAUGCGUAGAUAUUAGAAGGAACACCGGUGGCGAAGGCGACCAUCUGGACGAUAACUGACACUGAGGCGCGGAAGCGUGGGGAGCAAACAGG
This 253-nucleotide ribosomal RNA is filed under the name uncultured bacterium. RNAcentral's name for it is "partial 16S ribosomal RNA". It matches the Rfam family "Bacterial small subunit ribosomal RNA", at positions 524 to 776 of the family's 1533-position model. The record is from RNAcentral.